RNAcentral lists this unclassified non-coding RNA (378 nucleotides) under uncultured Halomonadaceae bacterium. RNAcentral's name for it is "contains 16S-23S intergenic spacer region". Lineage: Bacteria; Pseudomonadati; Pseudomonadota; Gammaproteobacteria; Oceanospirillales; Halomonadaceae. The record is from RNAcentral.
UCCGGUUUGUCACCGGCAGUCUCCUUAGAGUUCCCACCAUUACGUGCUGGCAAAUAAGGACAAGGGUUGCGCUCGUUACGGGACUUAACCCAACAUUUCACAACACGAGCUGACGACAGCCAUGCAGCACCUGUCUUACAGUUCCCGAAGGCACCCCGGAAUCUCUUCCGGGUUCUGUAGAUGUCAAGGGUAGGUAAGGUUCUUCGCGUUGCAUCGAAUUAAACCACAUGCUCCACCGCUUGUGCGGGCCCCCGUCAAUUCAUUUGAGUUUUAACCUUGCGGCCGUACUCCCCAGGCGGUCGACUUAUCGCGUUAACUUCGCCACAAAGUGCGCUAGGCACCCAACGGCUGGUCGACAUCGUUUACGGCGUGGACUAC